This is an RNA transcript of Humulus lupulus (European hop), 2729 nucleotides long. RefSeq lists it as uncharacterized. The transcript is spliced from 5 exons. The record is from RefSeq and is a predicted model, not a curated record. NCBI's taxonomy places the organism in Eukaryota, Viridiplantae, Streptophyta, Magnoliopsida, Rosales, Cannabaceae.
UCUCUCUAAAAUCCAGAAAAUACGAUUAUCCAUUUUUUCUUCUCAAAUUCACACCCAAAAAAAACCCAUGAUAUACGGUGCCACCUCCGGCGAAGCCAUGGUUUUUUUCUCAAAUUCACUCGAAAUUCCGAAACUCGCUGUCUUCCGUCAUUCUAGUUGGUUCUUCCGGCAAAAUAAUAGUUUAUUCCUCAUAUUCCACCGAAAACCCUAAAUUAAAUUCUCCAUUUUCCGCUGUACCAGUUGGGUCCUUCGGCUAAGCUAUUGUUCCUUUCUCAAAUUCACACAGGAACCCUAAAUUAUCAAUCUUCUGCCGCUCCACUUGUGUCCUACGGCCAACCCCACUUCGCCGGUUCAUUGGUAUCAGGGUGUAUUGGAAGUUCUUGUGAAAUUUGAACGCUUUAGGGGGGUUUCGUAUGGUUGGUGAAUUGGGUCUCUGAUGAAGAAGUUUGAUAGGAUUUGGGGUUCGAUUACCAGAGUUUCAAUUAAGCCAUUUGACAGAGUUGAGUGUUUAGCAACUUUCUGGUUGUGAAUGAUGGAUUGUGGAUUUACAUGACUUGUGAUAACUUUCUUGUUUGCAACAUCCGAAUUUGAAUUUCAACCUUGGAUAGACUUAAAGGGAUUUGAAUAUAUUUUGGCGGAAAAAUUUGCAUGGCAGGAAAGGGUGUGUUAGGUUUUACAAGAUCCAAUUCUAAUUCUUUGGAACUUCCUAAGGCGUGUAAUCUCAAGGACCAAGCGAAAAGAACAAUUCUUCGUAAUGUGAGAUCACAAGGGCACACCUAUGUUGAACUUCGUGAAGAUGGGAAAAAGUUCAUUUUCUUCUGUACUUUGUGCUUAGCUCCUUGUCACAGUGAUUCGGUACUGUUUGAUCACUUGAAAGGUAAUCUCCACAGUGAGAGGUUGUCUACUGCCAAGGCUACUCUCUUGAGACCAAACCCGUGGCCGUUUAAUGAUGGUGUUGUCUUCUUUGAUAAUUCAACCGAGAAAGGAGAACAGUUGGCAAUUACAAAUGGAAAUCAAAAUAAGCUAUUGGAGUCUCCAGACAAUGGGAACAGCCUAGCUAUAGUUAGUUAUGGUGAAAAUACAGAAAACUGUGCUAAUAAGCAUCCUAGGAAUGAUGCUUUUGGACGUCAAAAUGAGGAUCUAGAUUAUGCAGUCAUUGAUUCAGAUGUUAACUUCGAUUCCUCUACAGAGAAUCUGACAGAAUCUGGGGGAAAUUGUGCAGCUUUGAUCCCUUAUGUUCGAGUUGGAAAUGAAAUUACUAAUGUAAAAGUGAGGGAAGUGGGUUACGGACUAAUUGCUGCGAGAUUUCAGGAGAAGGGUAGCAUGUCAGAGGAGCUAACCAGGAUAUGGUGUGAGUGGUUGGGGAAAAAUAAUGUAGUGAAUGAGGAUUCAUUUAUUGUUCCUGAGCAUGACUUUGCUAUUGUUACCUUUAGUUAUAAUAAUUUAAAUUUAGGUAGAAUGGGUUUUCUUGAUGAGGUCAAAAAAUUGCUUUGUUCUAGUCCGUCGUCCGAAACUCAAAAUGCUGAAGGCGGUAAAAAAAGAAGGAAAUCAUUUUCCGAUCCUGAGGAUGUUUGUGAAAAUUUGAGUAAUCAUUAUGAUUCAGGCGGGGAAGAUUCUUCAGCUUCUGCAGUAUCAAGUUUAAUGUUAGACCAAUAUGAUGACCAGCUUCUGCAAACUAGAUUUAUUUCGAACAAGGCUGUAAGGCGGGAGUUGAGACGGCAACAGCGCUUAGCAUCUGAAAGAAUGUGUGAUAUUUGCCAACACAAGAUGCUUCCCGGAAAAGAUGUAGCAGCACUCAUGAAUGUGAAGACUGGAAGGCUUGCUUGCAGUAGUCGAAAUGUGAAUGGGGCCUUUCAUUUGUUUCACACUUCCUGCCUCAUACAUUGGGUUCUUCUAUGUGAACUUGAAAUGCUCACAAAUCAGCCAGAUAAUGUAAAAGUUAAACGAAGAUCUCAGAGAAAAACUGCGGCUAAGAACAAUGAAAUGCAAAACGAUAAUGAUAUGAAAGCUCUAAGGCCCCAAAUUAAUUCGGUAUUCUGUCCGGAGUGCCAGGGGACUGGAGCAAUUAUCGACAGGCAUGAUGAGAAACCAACGGUUCCUCUUUCAAAGGUGGGAAAGAACUUGUUCUGUUUGACUCAGAGGAUGAUCUCUACUUUCAGAUGUUCAAGUACAAGAUAAAAGUGAGUGAUGCACGCAGAGCAUGGAUGAAGAGUCCUGAAGUAUUGGAAAAUUGCUCAACAGGGUUUCAUUUCCCAUCCCAACCUGAAGAAAAGCUUCAGGAAAAGGUGAAACAACUAAAGUUGCUGCGUUUCUAUGGAGCUCAUUACUAGAAUUAGAACGUGGAACAUCGGCCUGCGAAGGUGGGUAAUGAAGGAGCAACUGUAAGCUAUUGUGGAUAAGUACAAUGAGAUUGUAUAUAUACCUGUUGACUGCUGUUGUGAUCUAGUCUAACACAGGUCUACAUACUGACAUCAUCUGCAUUGUAAAUUAACUCUUACUAUUCUCCAAUGCAUAUAUGUAUUUUAUAGUUGUGCAGUCUCUCUAUUUUACUAUUCAUUUUGUUCUUUGUUAUGUGUACUAUGUUCAGUGAGUAGUUUGGUAGAUAAAUAACAUAGAUACAGACCUGGUGUACAUGUAUCUAUCAAGGACAGUAUUGUGCUUAUUAUUUGGGGGAACAGAUUAUGAAAGGGUAGCAUUAUUAUUUGCUGCUAACUUUUCCUUCUUUUGCA